Molecule: long non-coding RNA, 485 nt
Organism: Oncorhynchus tshawytscha (Chinook salmon)
Lineage: Eukaryota; Metazoa; Chordata; Actinopteri; Salmoniformes; Salmonidae
Source: Ensembl
GUAGUUGGAGGUGUGGAAGAAGGUGCUGUGUGUGGGUGGGGGUAGUUGGAGGUGUGGAAGAAGGUGCUGUGUGUGGGUGGGGGUAGUGGGUGGUGUGGAAGAAGGUGCUGUGUGUGGGUGGGGGUAGUGGGUGGUGUGGAAGAAGGUGCUGUGUGUGGGUGGGGGUAGUGAGUGGUGUGGAAGAAGGUGCUGUUUGUGGGUGCGUGUCUGUGCAUGCGUCUGUGUGUGUAGGUGUGUGUGUGCAUGUCACUGCAUGCGUCUGUGUCUUUGUAGGUGUGUGUGUGCGUGUCUGUGCAUGCGUCUGUGUCUGUGUAGGUGUGUGUGUGUGUGUGCGUGCGUGUCACUGCAUGCGUCUGUGUCUGUGUAGGUGUGUGUGUGCGUGUCACUGCAUGCGUCUGUGUCUGUGUAGGUGUGUGUGUGUGUUUGCUUAGGGAGGGUAGGGGAAGGAUUUCCCCCUGUCUCCCAUAUCCCAAGUUCAAUGUCAG